RNAcentral lists this ribosomal RNA (622 nucleotides) under uncultured bacterium. Its description in RNAcentral is "bacterial SSU rRNA". It matches the Rfam family "Bacterial small subunit ribosomal RNA", at positions 36 to 670 of the family's 1533-position model. The record is from RNAcentral.
UUGGCGGCGUGGAUUAGGCAUGCAAGUCGAGCGCAAACCGUAGCAAUACGGGGAAAGCGGCGUAAGGGACAGUAAUGCGUAGAUACCUACCCUCAGGUUCAGGAUAGCUGCGGGAAACUGCAGGUAAUACUGAAUAAUGUCUCCGGACCAAAGGUGUGAUUCCACCGGAGGAUGGGUCUGCGUCCUAUUAGCUUGUUGGUGGGGUAAUGGCCUACCAAGGCAAUGAUGGGUAGCGGGUGUGAGAGCACGACCCGCGUCACUGGGACUGAGACACUGCCCAGACACCUACGGGUGGCUGCAGUCGAGGAUCUUCGGCAAUGGGCGCAAGCCUGACCGAGCGACGCCGCGUGCGGGAUGAAGGCCUUCGGGUUGUAAACCGCUGUCAGAGGGGAUGAAAUAUUUGGGGGUUCUCCCCCAAGUUUGACAUAUCCUCAGAGGAAGUGUGGGCUAAGUUCGUGCCAGCAGCCGCGGUAAGACGAACCACACAAACGUUAUUCGGAAUUACUGGGCUUAAAGGGUGCGUAGGCGGCGCGGAAAGUUGGGUGUGAAAUCCCUCGGCUCAACCCGAGGAACUGCGCCCAAAACUACCGUGCUUGAGGGAGAUAGAGGUGAGCGGAACUUA